GAUGAAUGCUGGCGGCGUGCCUAAUACAUGCAAGUCGAGCGCAGGAAGCCGUCUGAACCCUUCGGGGGGACGACGGUGGAAUGAGCGGCGGACGGGUGAGUAACACGUAAAGAACCUGCCCACGGGUCUGGGAUAACCACGAGAAAUCGGGGCUAAUACCGGACGGGUCAUCGGACCGCAUGGUCCGAGGAUGAAAGGCGCUCCGGCGUCGCCGGUGGCUGGCUUUGCGGUGCAUUAGCUAGUUGGUGGGGUAACGGCCCACCAAGGCGACGAUGCAUAGCCGACCUGAGAGGGUGAUCGGCCACACUGGGACUGAGACACGGCCCAGACUCCUACGGGAGGCAGCAGUAGGGAAUCUUCCACAAUGGACGAAAGUCUGAUGGAGCAACGCCGCGUGAACGAUGAAGGCCCUCGGGUCGUAAAGUUCUGUUGUAAGGGAAGAACAAGUGCCGCAGGCAAUGGCGGCACCUUGACGGUACCUUGCGAGAAAGCCACGGCUAACUACGUGCCAGCCGCCGCCGUAA
RNAcentral lists this ribosomal RNA (524 nucleotides) under uncultured bacterium. RNAcentral's name for it is "partial 16S ribosomal RNA". It matches the Rfam family "Bacterial small subunit ribosomal RNA", at positions 28 to 523 of the family's 1533-position model. The record is from RNAcentral.